AAUAACCUGCCGGGUCUAUAAUGCAGUCGAGCGACGGACGAGAAGCUUGCUUCUCUGAUGUUAGCGGCGGACGGGUGAGUAACACGUGGAUAACCUACCUAUAAGACUGGGAUAACUUCGGGAAACCGGAGCUAAUACCGGAUAAUAUUUUGAACCGCAUGGUUCAAAAGUGAAAGACGGUCUUGCUGUCACUUAUAGAUGGAUCCGCGCUGCAUUAGCUAGUUGGUAAGGUAACGGCUUACCAAGGCAACGAUGCAUAGCCGACCUGAGAGGGUGAUCGGCCACACUGGAACUGACACACGGUCCAGACUCCUACGGGAGGCAGCAGUAGGGAAUCUUCCGCAAUGGGCGAAAGCCUGACCGAGCAACUCCGCGUGAGUGACGUUGGUCUUCUGAU
This 397-nucleotide ribosomal RNA is filed under the name Staphylococcus aureus. Its description in RNAcentral is "bacterial SSU rRNA". It matches the Rfam family "Bacterial small subunit ribosomal RNA", at positions 36 to 423 of the family's 1533-position model. Lineage: Bacteria; Bacillati; Bacillota; Bacilli; Caryophanales; Staphylococcaceae. The record is from RNAcentral.